CAACUGAAGAGUUUGAUCAUGGCUCAGAUUGAACGCUGGCGGCAGGCCUAACACAUGCAAGUCGAGCGCGAAAGCACUUCGGUGUGAGUAGAGCGGCGGACGGGUGAGUAACGCGUAAGAAUCUACCUAGUAGUGGGGGACAACUCGAGGAAACUCGAGCUAAUACCGCAUACGCCCUACGGGGGAAAGCGGGGGACCUUCGGGCCUCGCGCUAUUAGAUGAGCUUGCGUUGGAUUAGCUUGUUGGUGAGGUAAUGGCUCACCAAGGCUACGAUCCAUAGCUGGUCUGAGAGGAUGAUCAGCCACACCGGGACUGAGACACGGCCCGGACUCCUACGGGAGGCAGCAGUCGGGAAUAUUGCGCAAUGGGCGAAAGCCUGACGCAGCCAUGCCGCGUGUGUGAAGAAGGCCUUCGGGUUGUAAAGCACUUUCAAUUGGGAGGAAAGGUUCACGGUUAAUAACCGUGAGCUGUGACGUUACCUUUAGAAGAAGCACCGGCUAACUCCGUGCCAGCAGCCGCGGUAAUACGGAGGGUGCGAGCGUUAAUCGGAAUUACUGGGCGUAAAGCGUACGUAGGCGGUUAUUUAAGUCAGAU
This 594-nucleotide ribosomal RNA is filed under the name Halieaceae bacterium. RNAcentral describes it as "bacterial SSU rRNA". It matches the Rfam family "Bacterial small subunit ribosomal RNA", at positions 1 to 593 of the family's 1533-position model. The record is from RNAcentral. Lineage: Bacteria; Pseudomonadati; Pseudomonadota; Gammaproteobacteria; Cellvibrionales; Halieaceae.